GCCGGGGUGGUGAAACUGGUAGACGCACUGGACUCAAAAUCCAGCGGACGCAAGUCCAUGUCGGUUCGAUUCCGACCCUCGGCA
Molecule: transfer RNA, 84 nt
Filed under: bacterium
Lineage: Bacteria
Description: tRNA-Leu
Rfam family: tRNA
About the family: Transfer RNA (tRNA) molecules are approximately 80 nucleotides in length. Their secondary structure includes four short double-helical elements and three loops (D, anti-codon, and T loops).
Source: RNAcentral